Molecule: ribosomal RNA, 460 nt
Filed under: uncultured bacterium
Lineage: Bacteria
Description: partial 16S ribosomal RNA
Rfam family: Bacterial small subunit ribosomal RNA
Source: RNAcentral
CCUACGGGAGGCAGCAGUGAGGAAUAUUGGUCAAUGGACGCAAGUCUGAACCAGCCAUGCCGCGUGCAGGAAGACGGCUCUAUGAGUUGUAAACUGCUUUUGUACGAGGGUAAACGCAGAUACGCGUAUCUGUCUGAAAGUAUCGUACGAAUAAGGAUCGGCUAAAUCCGGGCCAGCAGCCGCGGUAAUACUGAGGAUUCAAGCGUUAUCCGGAUUUAAUGGGUUUAAAGGGUGCGUAGGCGGUCGGAUAAGUUAGAGGUGAAAUCCCGAGGCUCAACUUCGGAAUUGACUCUGAUACUGUUCGGCUAGAGAGUAGUUGCGGUAGGCGGAAUGUAUGGUGUAGCGGUGAAAUGCUUAGAGAUCAUACAGAACACCGAUUGCGAAGGCAGCUUACCAAGCUACUUCUGACGUUGAGGCACGAAAGCGUGGGGAGCAAACAGGAUUAGAUACCCGGGUAGUC